GACGAACGCUGGCGGCGUGCUUAACACAUGCAAGUCGAACGGUAAGGCCCUUCGGGGUACACGAGUGGCGAACGGGGGAGUAACACGUGGGUGAUCUGCCCUGCACUUCGGGAUAAGCCUGGGAAACUGGGGCUAAUACCGGAUAGGACUCCUGGCUUCAUGGUUGGGGGUGGAAAGCUUUUGCGGUGUGGGAUGGGCCCGCGGCCUAUCAGCUGGUUGGGGGGGUAAUGGCAUACCAAGGCGACGACGGGUAGCCGGCCUGAGAGGGUGACCGGUCACACUGGGACUGAGAUACGGCCCAGACUCCUACGGGAGGCAGCAGUGGGGAAUAUUGCACAAUGGGCGCAAGCCUGAUGCAGCGACGCCGCGUGAGGGAUGACGGCCUUCGGGUUGUAAACCUCUUUCAGCUAUGACGAAGCGCAAGUGACGGUAGUAGCAGAAGAAGGACCGGCCAACUACGUGCCAGCCGCCGCAGUAA
RNAcentral lists this ribosomal RNA (478 nucleotides) under uncultured bacterium. RNAcentral's name for it is "partial 16S ribosomal RNA". It matches the Rfam family "Bacterial small subunit ribosomal RNA", at positions 28 to 523 of the family's 1533-position model. The record is from RNAcentral.